Molecule: RNA transcript, 4558 nt
Organism: Mustela lutreola (European mink)
Lineage: Eukaryota; Metazoa; Chordata; Mammalia; Carnivora; Mustelidae
Gene: PWWP2A
Gene name: PWWP domain containing 2A
Exons: 4
Source: RefSeq, a predicted model, not a curated record
GGCCCAGGGAACCAAGCAGCGUUGCCGCUGCUGCUGCACCCCGAGCUGGAGGAGGGAGAAGCCAGGAAGAAAAUGGCGGCCGUGGCUGCAGAGGCGGCAGCGACUGCAGCGUCCCCCGGGGAGGGGGGCGCCGGCGAGGCCGAGCCGGAGAUGGAGCCCAUCCCCGGCAGCGAGGCCGGCACUGACCCCCUCCCGGUCACCGCAACGGAAGCAUCUGUGCCGGACGGCGAGGCCGACGGGCAGCAGUCUUCUCCUCAGGCCGACGAGCCGCCGCUCCCGCCGCCACCGCCGCCGCCGGGGGAGCUCGCCCGCAGCCCGGAGGCGGCGGGGCCGGAGCUGGAGGCUGAGGAGAAGCUGCCCGCCCGGGUGGCGGAGCCGGCGGCAGCCGCGCCUCAGGAAAGACCCGACCUUCCACCUUCCCCUGCACCGCCGCCCGAGCAGCCCCCAGCUCCCGAGGAGCGCCAGGAACCGCCGCUGCCCCAGCCCGCAGCCCCGGCGCUCGUGCCGCCGGCGGGCGGGGACUCCGCGGUGUCGCAGCUGAUUCCCGGCUCCGAGGUGCGGGUCACGCUGGACCACAUCAUUGAGGACGCGCUCGUCGUGUCGUUCCGUCUAGGGGAGAAGCUCUUCUCCGGGGUCCUUAUGGAUCUGUCCAAAAGGUUUGGGCCCCAUGGGAUCCCUGUGACAGUGUUUCCCAAAAGGGAAUAUAAGGAGAAACCUGAAGCCAUGCAGCUCCAAAGUAAUACAUUCCAAGAAGGGACAGAAGUCAAGCGUGAAGUGAAUGGUGCUGUUCCCGAUGACCCUUCUCCCAUCUCGCCUCCCGAGCCAGGCUUGGCUGAAAGCCUGUGGACUUCCAAACCACCGCCUCUCUUCCAUGAAGGAGCACCUUACCCUCCCCCUUUGUUUAUCAGGGACACCUAUAACCAGUCAAUACCUCAGCCACCGCCUCGGAAAAUUAAGCGACCCAAACGAAAAAUGUACAGGGAAGAACCUACUUCAAUAAUGAAUGCUAUUAAACUGCGACCCAGGCAAGUCCUGUGUGACAAGUGUAAAACCAGUGUUGUUGCAGAGAAAAAGGAAAUUAGAAAAGGUAGUAGUGCAAGUGACUCUUCUAAAUACGAAGAUAAAAAACGGAGAAACGAAAGUGUAACUACUGUGAACAAAAAACUGAAAACUGACCAUAAAGUGGAUGGGAAAAACCAAAAUGAAAGCCAGAAAAGAAAUGCUGUGGUGAAGGUUUCCAAUAUUGCUCACAGCAGAGGCAGAGUAGUCAAAGUUUCUGCUCAGGCAAAUACAUCAAAAGCUCAGUUAAGUACUAAAAAAGUGCUCCAGAGUAAGAACAUGGAUCAUGCAAAAGCUCGGGAAGUGUUGAAAAUUGCCAAAGAAAAGGCACAAAAGAAGCAAAGUGAAACCUCUACAUCCAAAAAUGCACAUUCAAAAGUCCAUUUCACACGUCGCUAUCAGAGUCCUAGCUCAGGUUCCCUUCCACCCCGGGUUCGUUUAAAACCACAAAGGUACAGGAAUGAAGAAAAUGACUCUUCUUUGAAGACGGGACUUGAGAAAAUGCGGAGUGGCAAGAUGGCACCCAAGCCCCAGUCUCGCUGCACCUCUACCCGCUCAGCAGGUCUGUUUCCAAUGGAGAGGAGAAUGGGGUCAAAGGGAAAGAAAUCCUAAUCAUCGGAGCUAUAGGUUCCUUCCUGCCCUCCCACGUGUAUCAACUUUAUCCCUCUGAAGCCUCCACCUUGAAGUAAAGCCCAGGUAAAGAACUUACAGACACAUUGCCUUUAAAUGUCAAGGCCUUUUCUAAUAAUUCAUGGAAAGAAUUUUUGGUCUCAGUCUAAGAUUUAGCCCCCAGAAGCUCUCCAUAUUCUGAGGAAGCUCCCAGAACCCAGGCUGAGCAUUCUGCAGGCAGGCUUCCCAACCCUAACCUGAACACAUGUGCCGGGCGUGCCUGUUUACCGAGACUCGCUGGCACAGCCCAUCCCUGCACACAGGUGCCGGCCAGGGCACGGUCUCGAGUGGACGGAUGCACAGGUAGGGGACACAACAAGCACAAAAAGGAGGGGGCGUCCUCGGGCAAGUGGGAGGGACCCAGAGCAUUGGCAGUCUGUCCUGGGGUUGAGGAAGGAGAACCGGGAAGGGAGCAAGCAGUUCAAGAAGCCAAAUGAAAUGUCACCGCUGGCACAAGCCUUGGCUCUUCGGAGUGAGUGACGUGAGACUGAAUCUCAAAACGUCUUCACAUCAUGCUGCCCGGGAGCAAUAGCAACCCCAUCGCCCAAGCUGCUGGGACUGGCAGAGGCCGGGGCGCUCCUGGAUGGAGGGCCACCGCAAGGCCAUUUUGCGGCGCGGUGACCACGGAGCAGCCACUGUAGAGUAUCAUCCCUGUGGUGCGACAGGAGCUACAGAGUAAAGCUGGUUCUUGGCUUUUGGGACGCUCUCAGUCUGGCCAGGACACACAGACACAAGGAUGGGCGUGCCCCAGGCAGGAGAGCUCAGCGGCCUGUGCAGGGGCUGAGAGGAAGGCGUCUCAGGACAGACCACACGCGUCAGUGCUCAGAGGUACCGACCAGGAGGUACCGGGCGCUGGCGUGCCACCGCGUGUCACAGAUGGUAAGGGGCCAAGCAUUCAAGCUGCAGAUGGAGAGGGACACUGAGGGCCUUCAGCAGGUUUUUCCCUCUGCCUGACUGGCUGCAGACCCGGCCCACCACCACGAGCCUGGCCCUUUGAGCUGAACUGAUUCUGUGGAGAGGCACUCAGGAAAACGUGCUUCUCCCACUGCAGGCGGCGCGUACCUGUCCAUGACCGAGCACCGUAGGGGCAGCCCAGGAACUCUGACAGGUGACUGUGGGUCCUCACGGUCUCUGCUGGAACUUUCUUAGCACUGCACUGCUGUGAGACUUUUCCUAUGGGCUUCCUCUCUCCUCUGCAGGCACCUGACAGUUCUCCGCCCAUCCCCGCUGUAGGGACGUCCCCAAUCAGUCUCUCAUCCUUCUAUUCCAAUCAUGGUUCUGCUUCUCUGUGGGGUCAACCUACACAUGGAGCUAUUAGUCGUCUUCCUUCCUUCUCAGCCUUUUUAACAUUCCGCAGCAGUUUUACUCUAUUAUCUUGUGACGAGAGCACAGGCAGUUCCGCUUGCUCAAGGACACAAGGGACGCCAAGUGCCUGAGACACCUACUAGAGACACAGAGUGGGGAAGUCUGCCAUCAGAAGACCACAGAUUACCAGACCUGAAUUUGACCCACAGUCCCAAGUUCACAUGUGUGGCAUCUUGCUGUGUGUGGUGGCACAAGAAGCAGCUGAGAUGCGAGGGGAAGACAGCUGUGCACGUGGAAGCCGAAGGUUCAGAGCUACAGCACAAGAGGGGAAGGCAAAAUUCAUGACACACUGCUUCUGCUCAGGAGGAACUGCUCAGAGCAGAGAGGCUGACCACACCUGGCCGCACCUCCAUCACUCCCUUUGAGGUCCUCUCCUGGGCUGCCUGGACUCUGUCCCCACACAGCAGUCAUAUGCCCACACAGUGCUGGAUAAACUCCAGCGUGGCCCAGAAACACGGAGAGGGGUUAUCAGAACUCUGAGUGCUACGCCCCACUCCCCCCACCCCCCGCCAUCUCUGAUUCAGCAGGAUGGGGAUGGAAUCUGAACAAUGUGCAUUCUGAACGAGUUCUCACGGGAAACUGGGCUGAGCAAUGCAUUCUGCGAUCCAGCCCCUCCCAAAUAACUUGCUUUUGUAUCUGGCCAGUGGAAUCAGGAUGAGAAGCCUGGUACUGAAAACUAACUGUGGACACCUGUCUCGAGUGACUGGUGGGACAGGCUGCCUGGGCGGAGUGUCCCUCUUACAUGAUGUGAAAAUAGCCCACGUUACUUUUUGGAGAAAGCAAACUUUAUCUUCCACCUCGCAGUUCAAUACAAGAUGACAGGAGAUUAAGAAAGAACCGCAAACAUACAUGUACAGAUUUUUAGCAAUUCUACUUGUUUGAGAUAUCAUGGCCAGGCCAGGAUAUAGGACAAAACAAUUUACAAAUGAUGACAACAAAAGCCUUCAUCCCAUCCUUUUCUGUUUGCAACUGAGGCUUAUCCAGAGAUCUGUCAGCAUCAUCAUCUGGCCUCCCAAGUACACAGCUCUGGCCCUCAUCUUGCUGCCAAGAUGAGGCUCAGCUCAUCACCCAGUGUGUACAGAGCUGAACCCCAGGAAGGCGCUGGUCUGUCUCCCCUACAAGGUUAAGCAGCCAGGCUUCUCGAGGUGCUCCUACAUGCAGAGCAGACACUGAACCUCGGCCCUCGGUGUGCGCCAGCUGAGCUGAGGAGCUUCAGGGAUUCUGAAAAGGUCUCAUCAGUUCUACCUUUGAAAUUGUUUUUACCAUUUACCUAGGUGGACAAAAUAUUUAAGGUUGUGAAGUGAAAACUCAGAAAUAAAUUAGAUACAGAUACUCAGGAGGCUGUGCCUACCAUCCAAAUCCCAUUUCAAAUUAUUACGUUCAUCAAACUUGCCUGGUUAUUCUGAUUAUAAUAAAUGCUAUACAUUUGAACUGAUACAAAUAAAAUACCACUCUUUGUUUUCUA